CCUACGGGUGGCUGCAGUGAGGAAUAUUGGUCAAUGGGCGCGAGCCUGAACCAGCCAAGUAGCGUGAAGGAUGACUGCCCUACGGGUUGUAACCUUCUUUUAUAAAGGAAUAAAGUGAGGCACGUGUGCCUUUUUGUAUGUCCUUUAUGAAUAAAGAUAGGCUAACUCCGUGCCAGCAGCCGCUGUAAUACGGAGGAUCCGAGCGUUAUCCGGAUUUAUUGGGUUUAAGGGGAGCGUAGAUGGGUUGUUAAGUCAGUUGUGAACGUUUGCGGCUCAACCGUAAAAUUGCAAUUGAUACUGGCAGUCUUGACUACAGUUGAGGUAGGCGGAAUUCGUGGUGUAGCGGUGAAAUGCUUAGAUAUCACGAAGAACUCCGAUUGCGAAGGCAGCUUACUAAACUGCCACUGACAUUGAUGCUCGAAAGUGUGGGUAUCAAACAGGAUUAGAUACCCCUGUAGUC
Molecule: ribosomal RNA, 460 nt
Filed under: uncultured bacterium
Lineage: Bacteria
Description: partial 16S ribosomal RNA
Rfam family: Bacterial small subunit ribosomal RNA
Source: RNAcentral